This is a long non-coding RNA of Dreissena polymorpha, 855 nucleotides long. RefSeq lists it as uncharacterized. Lineage: Eukaryota; Metazoa; Mollusca; Bivalvia; Myida; Dreissenidae. The record is from RefSeq and is a predicted model, not a curated record. The transcript has 3 exons.
UUGACCUUGUAACAUAGAGCUUUACAAAAUCACGCUGUCGUCACGAACAUGUAAUGUAAAUAACACACCGUAAAAGCCCACUUUGAAUGUUGUAAGAACUUAGGGUCCUACCCUUUCUUCAAAAAAGUUGUAUUGCUAUGUAUAUUUUGUAGUUUUUUAUUAUUUUGGAAAUAAAAUAUGUUUCUCAAGUCCCAAAUUUAGAUUGUGUAAAUGUGAGCUAUUUAUGUCGUUAUGAAAGAAAAGCUUAUUGAGGUUUUUAUACCUUAUUAUCUGGCAAGCAAGAUUAAACUAUAAAAAUAUAUACAAUCUUUUAUUUUAUAGGUGUGUGAUAGAUUACGGCUAUUGUUUACGUAAACAAUCGUUUACUAUACUUUUGAGUUUUGACUAAUUAACUUUGAUACAGCCAGCAUAUUAAGCAUACUGUGGUAAAUAGUUAAGUGGUGUGUAACCCAGAACUGUGAGGUGUAGUACAUUUGAUGAUGAAAGCAAAACAUUUGUGCAGUCGUUUCAGUUGUCUCUAGAAGUUCUCAGCGUUAGGAUCUCGUAUCUUCAAGUAUUCUGGUUAAGAACGGUGCGUCCAGCCUUCCAGCUUGGUACAUGUAUUAAAUUUUUUACAGGAUGGUCAUGGAAAAGUUAGCCUCACAGACAUGUCAAGGAGAAGGAUCGCCAGUGGGAUAAAGACUACCAAACUUACGAGGAAUUGAAGGUUUCAGCUUGCCACCAGUGCAUAGAGCAGGGAGGAAAUGUCGAGGAUGCCAAGCUAUGGAUGGGCUUUUUUCACUUACAGUGGGGUACAUUCAGUUCAGAGUGGAAUGCGCAUCAAGGAGUCAAGCUAUUCAAAAGAUGCCAUAUGUG